UACGUAGGCAGCAAGCGUUGUUCGGAGUUACUGGGCGUAAAGGGUGUGUAGGCGGUUGGAUAAGUGUGGUGUGAAAUCUCCCGGCUCAACUGGGAGGGUGCGCUACAAACUGUCUGACUAGAGUGUGGGAUGGGUAAGUGGAAUUCCUGGUGUAGCGGUGAAAUGCGCAGAUAUCAGGAGGAACACCGGUGGCGAAGGCGGGUCUCUGGGCCGAUACUGACGCUGAGGAGCGAAAGCGUGGGGGAGCGAACAGG
This 254-nucleotide ribosomal RNA is filed under the name uncultured bacterium. RNAcentral's name for it is "partial 16S ribosomal RNA". It matches the Rfam family "Bacterial small subunit ribosomal RNA", at positions 524 to 776 of the family's 1533-position model. The record is from RNAcentral.